CUAAAGGGCUGUUUAGCCUCCUAUGGGAUCCCUUUGUUUCUGUCUUCACCCCAUGUCACCUGGGCUCCUAUUUCCCCGCUUGGAAACAUGCCUGAAAGCGGCUGACCUGAGCCAGGACUCACUGUCUCUGUGGAAAUGGUGAUUAAUCUCUUCCCUUCCUUCCUGUAUCCUUCUUCCCAGCACAGCUUGUGCUACCCAGGGCCCCUGUACAAUCCAGUAGAACCUGGAUGAUCAGAGGAGAGAGACUCCCAGGGAGGACAGGGUGAAAGCAAGCCUUGGGAUGCUGAGGCUGAGACUCCGAGAGUUCUAAAUAGGAUUCCUGAAGUGUCAGAGAGGCAAGGCUUUACCAGGUACUGAGUAAGGAAGUCAUUCCUGACUCUACCGCCCACCACUCUGCUUUACCUUUCACCUGGAGGCAACCAUGAAGAAACAGGACUUAGAAGAAAUCAGAGAAAGGGAAUGGUUUGCUGGCUCCUGGUUUGAACAAUUUAUUUGACCUCAUUGAACCUUAGGGUUUUUUUUUCCUACAAUACAGAAAUAGUAAGCAGUGCCUCCUUCAGAGCAUCAUCAUUAGGAUUAAAUAAAAUAAUGCAUGAAAGACUGAGGUUUAUAAACUACUUCAGAAGUCAUCUUAAAUGGCAAUUCAUCUCUUUGUGUCACUGAUGUCUGUCCUUGGAAUGUCAUAGUAUUGCGUUUGCUUGAGUUUAUUUAGCCAAAGGAAUACUGAAUGGUCAGCUUACUAUGUCCUGAUCAGUGACUAAGUUGGGAAUGGCUCUUUCCGUAGUAAUCACUGAAAUUGACAAAUGCUGGACUUUGCAUUUGUGGGCAGAGGAUUUGUAGGAAGAGAAGAGGAGGCAAAAGAAAGAGAAGGCAAUGAGGAGAUGUAGUGUGUAAGGAAGGAAGGAGAAAAAGAAAGAUUUUGUCAUGAAAGUUUUCCUUCUAAAUCAAGAGCCACGCCAUCACUGUCAGGCUUUGGAGCUAUUCCAGACAGCGACUGCUGGCAAGUGCAAUAACGUGAAUGAAUGGGACCAUUUGAAUUUUUUCUUUGCCAAUACCUCCAAGGAGGUCAGCUAACCCAGUUUCUAUGCUAAAUAUGCAGCUUACUCAAGUGAAGUUCCCUGUCAGCGAGUGCAGCGUUCAAGUGAAGUUUGGCUUUUUAGACCAUGUAUUUUAUCAGAUUCUCUUCUCAGUAACAGUGAGGUGAAUUCAGAGUGUAUGUGCUGAGGUGUGUGAGCUAUCCCACGGUGGUAUCUCCUGGGACCCUCGGAAGCAACGAUGCAAACCUUACCUGAGGCAGGACAGAGAAGCAUGAAAGGGACGGAACACAAGUUUGCUGGCCAGCAAAUGGGAUGGAGAGAGAAGGAAAGAUGCCACAGGCGCAACCAAAACACACACACACACACCAGCCUGCAACUCUUCUCCUCAGCCUUUCCAGGGUCAUUUGUCCAGCAACACUGCAGAGGGUUACCUGAGUCUCCUAUAAUGAAAUGAGAAGUAAAAACACAAGACAGGAGACUCCUCGUUACAACGCGUUGGCAUGAGUGCCCUUGGCUAUUUAAUUGUGUUCCCUGUUUCAGGUUCCAAAAUGCCAGUUCUAGCCUCAAAGCGACCCCACACUGUGGGCUAAUCCAAACCACCCAGACGUCUCCUUGCUUUUCUGUAUAAGCAGAUGGCAGGAAUGUUACUCGUGGGCUUGCAGGAGGUGACACUGGCUUUGAGAUCACUCUCUUCUUACUGAGGAAGUAACCAAGGCCCAAGAGAGUCAAGUGAUGACCAAGGUCACAGUAUGAGUGGUGGUCAAGAUGGGUCUUGAACUCUGUUCUUCUACAUUGCGCACAGAGACUCUGGCCACAGCUCAUAUGAAGCCACCAAAGCUGAAGGCUGAGUUAUUUGUUCAAAUACUCAGAUACUGCUCUCAUACACAGAUGUUCCCAACUGGUGCAGACACUUGCAGGGCCUGGCUUUGCAGCAGACCGCAGCAGUGCUUUUAAUCACUCCCAGCUAGCUGUCCAGAACACUGGACAGCUGGCACUUUCUUACUGGCCUGAGUGAGAAAACGUCCUCAUAGCAAAGUACCAGACACCAAAAUGACAUCUCUGUUCACUCUGGGCGCUGCUUUUUAAAUGCUCGUCAGAAGCCAGGGUGACAAACUCAAUGGACUGAGAACUAGCAAGUGUCAUCGUUAAGGUCUGAGAAAGUGAUAUGAGUUUCCAAGACAGCCAAGCGUUGGCAAAUUCAGAAGUAACGUGUGAACUGUCUUCACCUACAGAGCAAAAGGCUGGUCAGGGUGGAGGAAGAGGUGGCAUCGCGCUCAUGAUCUGCUGGGUGCAGCCAGAGGCACGUCAUGCAGGCCGGCGCCUGGAGAGGGCCAAGGCAGAGCCAGGCAGAGAGGGGAGGCGGCCUGCUCUCUCCAACAAACCAGACGGUCACGCAGACAAAUAAGGAGCUCACAGCAUGGAACAGAGAGGAGCCAGUGCCAGGGGGAGCGGGGGGCAGGGAGGAAGCACCGCAAACCAGGCUAUCCCUGAGCCAGCAGGGGUUUUUGCAAAGAACAUGAUGGGCAGAAGCAGUCGCUUUUCUGGACUCCAGUGUGCUGAUGAUAAUCACUCUAUCCUGAUUCAGGCAGUAGAACCAUGGGCUCCAUCCACCCAGCUUCACUGUGGUUGACAGAAUACGCAGGCCAGUCUGCUGAGCUAAUGAGAACUUGGCCUUAUAAAAGCACGGGAGCCAUGAGCCUGCCUUCUUUACAACAAAGGGACUCCUAAUUUAUGACCUGAAUGGUAAAAAUGCACAGGGAAGGUCACUGGGUGACUUCGAUUUACUUUGACAGACUUUUCUACAUUUCUUGUACCUUUUAGAAUGUACACAGGCUAGUUUAUAGUAACCUUUGUUUUCUUUUUUUUUUUUUUUAAAGCAAACAAAUCAAAAAUACCUGAUGGGUGGUGUAAAGGAUCUUCUGGGAAAAUCUAGAUGAUUUUGGAUUGUGGUUUUCAUUAGAAGAAAACAGGAUUGACUCUAUGGCCAGCUGCCUGUCAUUUUCAGCAAGAUUAAGCCUGUUCUCAUUCCAAAGACCUGUGGGAAAAGUCUUUCUUAGAGGAGCUCUCCCUGGGCCAUGUUACCAUUUCAGCUCAAAUAGUGAAAAAGGAAGGUCCAGGCCAGGAACCCCCAUAGGCGUUUCCCUUCUCUGUCGUGGGUGGGAGCCCUGGGUGGUCUUGAUACUUACAUGGAGGGAGCAAUGCAUGAGGCAGAAAGUGCAAAAUCUGUGGUGAAGGGGACUUGGAAGGAAAAAGCAAAACAUCCUUCUGCUUGAUAGGAAACCAAAGCUCGAGAUUUAAUGCAGUGCCAAGACACUUAUUCCCCUGUCCUUGUUAAGGAAGACAGAACAAUUGCUUUGUCAGCUUACACUUUUCCUAGAACAGCGGAGUGGUUAGGGAGGUGCCUUAGGGCUGCAGGGGAGUUGUGCAUGCAGCAGCAAAAAAAUUUAAAAAAGCUCAAAAAGCCACUUAAAUUUUCUGAAGUUGACAAUCUUCAGUGUAUCAUUUGUGCUCAUGUUAUUUAUUUUUUUGUGAGUCCAAAAUUCAGGCUCCUGUAGUUCCAAGACAGCAGUGAAAAUGCGAAACAGAGCUUUUUCUCUCCCUUGUCCCUCAUGAAGCAGGUGGAGACGGUGGCUAGAGCGAGCUACUGUCAGGCACAGAGGUAAUGGAAUUUAUAGAAAAGCAAACUUUAAGUGGGGGUGGGGUGGGGAAGGGACCAGGCUGAGUCUCAAAAAGAUUUCCUAAAGCUUCUGAAGAGGAUUCAAAAGAUUGUUCUGGAAUUAAAAGCACCUCUUAUUGCAGGCCAUGUCAAAAACAGACUUGAAAACAAUUCAGUUAAAACCCUACAAGCAAUCCAUAGGAAUUCCAUACAGACGCUAUUGAAUUAGACAACUGUGGCUUUCAAGAAGUUUGCACAGAAGAGGACAGCUAUCAUACGUGGUGUGAAAGGCAUCUUUCACCUUGGAAAGUUACUUUUGUAUAGUAGGCUUUCCAGUGUUCACUGAAUUGCAUAUGAAUAAUACACACAGUUCUACAGUGCCCUGAAUGUUGACUGUCUAAUAGCAUCAACAUUAAUAGGGAUGUCAUGCUGCAGAGAACCCUAGUUUUGUUUUAUAAUUAAAAAAAAAAAUGGGCUCCAGACUUCCCAAUCCACUACCUCCGU
This is a long non-coding RNA of Cervus elaphus (red deer), 4197 nucleotides long. RefSeq lists it as uncharacterized. The record is from RefSeq and is a predicted model, not a curated record. Lineage: Eukaryota; Metazoa; Chordata; Mammalia; Artiodactyla; Cervidae. The transcript has 5 exons.